GCUCCCAAGGAGCGUUGCAGCGCGGCCUCCCUUGUCGAGGGCGCCGCGUCAGGCUUGGGCUUCCAUCCGCUGGAGUGCAACGACGCUCGCCUGAU
Molecule: regulatory RNA element, 95 nt
Organism: Variovorax sp. JS1663
Lineage: Bacteria; Pseudomonadati; Pseudomonadota; Betaproteobacteria; Burkholderiales; Comamonadaceae
Rfam family: SAH (S-adenosyl-L-homocysteine) riboswitch aptamer
Source: Rfam